UUGUGUUUGAUUUAAACCCAUAGGGCCU
RNAcentral lists this non-coding RNA (28 nucleotides) under Mus musculus (house mouse). The record is from RNAcentral. Lineage: Eukaryota; Metazoa; Chordata; Mammalia; Rodentia; Muridae. RNAcentral also lists the same sequence under 1 other name.